RNAcentral lists this small nuclear RNA (86 nucleotides) under Macaca nemestrina (pig-tailed macaque). RNAcentral describes it as "U1 spliceosomal RNA (ENSMNEG00000003482.1)". It matches the Rfam family "U1 spliceosomal RNA", at positions 1 to 87 of the family's 166-position model. From Rfam's summary of the family: U1 is a small nuclear RNA (snRNA) component of the spliceosome (involved in pre-mRNA splicing). Its 5' end forms complementary base pairs with the 5' splice junction, thus defining the 5' donor site of an intron. There are significant differences in sequence and secondary structure between metazoan and yeast U1 snRNAs, the latter being much longer (568 nucleotides as compared to 164 nucleotides in human). Lineage: Eukaryota; Metazoa; Chordata; Mammalia; Primates; Cercopithecidae. The record is from RNAcentral.
AUACUUACCUGGCUGGGGAGAUACCAUGAUCACGAAGGUGGUUUUCCCAGGGCGAGGCUCAUCCAUUACACUCCAAUUAUGCUGAC